AAGCAGCAGCAUCCCGGAAGCUACCGCGAGCCGCCACUAGCCGGGACCCCGGGCUCGCCGGCGGGGGCAUAGGGCUCCGAAGCCCGCGGGCUGCAAAUGUUUCAACGCCCGCCCUAUCAUCUCUGUCCCAGAGGCUAGUGAAGAUUAGAAGGCGAAAAAAAACGCACUCGUGAUGAAAUGUGCUGAGCUCAUGCAGUCCUCCCACACUGAAAGAGCCCAGCAGAAUGCGUGGAGGCAGACAAUGUCAGAGUGCAGAAAAGCACAAAAUGCAUGUGAGGACAGGAGGGACACGUGAGAGGACAAGUGGCGGGAGCAAGAGAAGAGGUGGCAUCAGCGUGAUGAGAAGAGGCAGAAAGCAAUGCUAAGGCUACUGGAGGAUCAAACUGAUAUGCUUCGGCGUAUGGUUGAGGUGCAGGAAAGGCAGCAGGAGCACAGCAGGAGCACCGCCACUGCAGCCCCUGUGUAACCAACCUCCCACUUCCCCAAGUUCCAUAGCCUUUCAACCAGACGCCCAAGAACGUGGUGGGGAGGGGCGUCCAGGCACCCAACCACUCCAACCCAGAGGACUACCCAAGCAACAGAAAGCUGGCAUUCAAUAAGUUUUGAAGUUGAGUGUGGCCUUGUCCUUCCCUCCUCCCCCACCACCCCACCCAGUGCUUCCCUCCUCCUCCACCCCUCACACAAAUGGGGGGAUAACUUGGUAGCUAUCCCCCCAUUUGUGUGACAAAUUAAUAAAGAAUGAAUUUAAAACGA
Molecule: long non-coding RNA, 753 nt
Organism: Malaclemys terrapin pileata
Lineage: Eukaryota; Metazoa; Chordata; Testudines; Emydidae
Exons: 2
Source: RefSeq, a predicted model, not a curated record